AUCGGGAGUAGUAGGUAGUGAGAGCUCAACCCCAAGAAAAAGAGGGUUUAAGCCGCAGCAGCUUGAAUGGAGAGCAUGAGAUGCAUAGGCAUUGGUACUCCAAGACUGGUUACUCCGCCAAUAAUCCCCCACCCAUCUCUAAGAAAAUCCUCCAAACUCAUUUGCACCACCACCUACUCCGCCAGCAAAUGGGCCGAUCGCCUCUUCAGCGACUUUCAAUUCUUGAACACCACCGCCGAAACCUCCUCCGACCUCCGCCAUUCUCUCCCCUCUUCCACAGCCAUCAUCGCUCCUCCUUCCCCCGCCCAUCAUUCUCCUCCUGAGCGCCACGUCUCCAUCCCUCUUCAUUUCUAUCAGGUGUUAGGAGCUGAGACACAUUUCCUUGGAGACGGUAUAAAGAGAGCUUAUGAAGCUAGGAUUUCUAAGCCGCCUCAGUUGGGCUUCAGUCAAGAUGCAUUGAUUAGUCGUCGGCAGAUUCUCCAAGCCGCAUUUGAAACCCUAGCGGAUCCAAAAUCAAGAAGAGAAUAUAAUCAAGGCUUGAUCGAUGACGAGCAGGAUACUAUCAUCACUCAGGUCCCGUGGGACAAGGUUCCUGGGGCUCUAUGUGUUUUGCAAGAAGCAGGGGAAAUUGAGGUUGUUCUUGAAAUUGGAGACAAUUUGCUUCGAGAGAGGCUGCCCAAGGCAUUCAAGCAAGAUGUUGUGCUGGCAAUGGCGCUUGCUUAUGUGGACAUGUCGAGGGAUGCUAUGGCAUUGAAUCCCCCAGAUUUCAUCCGAGGUU
RNAcentral lists this unclassified non-coding RNA (778 nucleotides) under Hevea brasiliensis (rubber tree). Lineage: Eukaryota; Viridiplantae; Streptophyta; Magnoliopsida; Malpighiales; Euphorbiaceae. The record is from RNAcentral.